UUCGCAAUGCCCGAAAGGGCGACGAAGCGACGCCGCGUGGAUGAAGGAGGCCUUCGGGUUGUAAAAUCCUGUCAGGAGUUAAGAAAUAUAAGUUUGAUAAUACCAAAUUUAUUUGACAAAGGCUCCAGAGGAAGCCACGGCUAACUCUGUGCCAGCAGCCGCGGUAAUACAGAGGUGGCAAGCGUUGUUCGGAAUUAUUGGGCGUAAAGAGCACGUAGGUGGAUUUGUUAGUCAGAUGUGAAAGCCUUUCGUUCAACGGAAGAAUUGCAUCUGAAACUACAAACCUUGAGUAUAGGAGGGGAGAGUGGAACUUCUGGUGGAGCGGUGAAAUGCGUAGAUAUCAGAAGGAACGCCGGCGGCGAAAGCGACUCUCUGGCCUAUAACUGACACUGAGUGUGCGAAAGCUAGGGGAG
Molecule: ribosomal RNA, 413 nt
Filed under: uncultured Candidatus Scalindua sp.
Lineage: Bacteria; Pseudomonadati; Planctomycetota; Candidatus Brocadiia; Candidatus Brocadiales; Candidatus Scalinduaceae
Description: bacterial SSU rRNA
Rfam family: Bacterial small subunit ribosomal RNA
Source: RNAcentral